CGGAAUAGCGCCUGAGCAGCAGAGUAUGCUGUUGACGAGGAGGACAGUGAUCGAAAAUUCGGCGGAUGCUGUCCCGGAUACUAAAGUAUUCGUAAGUUUAUCUGUUAAAACUGCCGGGCAACCGGUCUGACAGAGCAGAUAU
RNAcentral lists this non-coding RNA (142 nucleotides) under Jeotgalicoccus aerolatus. RNAcentral's name for it is "glmS glucosamine-6-phosphate activated ribozyme". It matches the Rfam family "glmS glucosamine-6-phosphate activated ribozyme aptamer", at positions 9 to 156 of the family's 167-position model. Rfam says of the family: This entry contains a glucosamine-6-phosphate activated ribozyme that is found in the mRNA for GlmS. GlmS is an enzyme that uses fructose-6-phosphate and glutamine to generate glucosamine-6-phosphate. The ribozyme catalyses self cleavage of the glmS mRNA that is thought to regulate GlmS activity. Lineage: Bacteria; Bacillati; Bacillota; Bacilli; Caryophanales; Staphylococcaceae. The record is from RNAcentral.